UAAAUUUUAUUUUUUAUCGUAAUUUUUUAAUUUAAUCGAUUUAAAGAUUAACUUCACGAGAUUAAACCUUUAAAUUAUAAAAAUAACAAACACUUUAUAACGGGACCUGUUGAUGAUAUUUUCAUUUUGCAUAGCAGGGGCAAUCAGAAAGGAGGCUCACUUGGUGAUAAAGUACCGAGUAGAUACCGCGACAUACUGCCAGAAGGCCCGCCACUGCGUUGCCGGCCUAAUAAUGUUUAAGACUGCCAACAACAACGACUUUUCCACGACCAGGAGCGAUUAAGCACAGAUUCGCAGAGUCAAUCUAUAAUCUACUGACAUCAUGUGUUGUCCUAUUUUGGAAUGUUUUAUUAUUAUUAGUAUAGUAUGAACUAAAAUUACUAAUUAGCCGAUAAUUUGGGAAGGAUAUUUUCCUAAAUUGUUUUUGCAAUUUAAAUUUCAGUGUCUGUGUUUAACAAGAGGACCACUGCCGAGAUUCAAAUUGAUUGGAAAUAUUCACUUCCCAAAAAUCAAGGUGACCCCACCACGGUACGUGACACCUCCAACUGAAGAGACAUCAACACUGUGCCCGCCCUGCAUCUGCCCUCUGCCUGAAAACGUAUUACCGAAUGAUUAAACAGUUGUGCUUUCUA
This is a long non-coding RNA of Pieris rapae (cabbage white), 632 nucleotides long. RefSeq lists it as uncharacterized. The record is from RefSeq and is a predicted model, not a curated record. NCBI's taxonomy places the organism in Eukaryota, Metazoa, Arthropoda, Insecta, Lepidoptera, Pieridae. The transcript is spliced from 2 exons.